UAUUAGACAUAUAACUAAACUGAUUUUAUCUCACUUUUACAUGAUAAUCAAGAAUUAUCUAAUAUAGAAAAUUCAAUAACCCAAGCAUUUAUAGGAAGAAUUCGUUGUUAUGAUUAUGGUAAAAAGCCAAAAGUAACGAUCUACUCUAAGAUUAGGGAUGAACACAAAUAUUAUGAUACCCCAAAGCCUCUAGUCCUUAGAAUGUUACAAAACAGAGUUGCCUCAUGGUCCCAAACGCAAGAAUCGUACACUCUUCUUCAUCAAUCCAUCCUCUCUUAGUAAACUUGCUACAGUUGCAGCUCUUCGAAGAAGAAAGCAGUUCUAUACCCUCUUGUUUAAAUUGCCCGCCAUGGCAUACAAUGAUAAUACCGCAUGUGUGUAUUGCUUCUACAUGCCCUUUUUUGGCCGCCUUCUCUAAGUGUUGAAACCCUGAUUCUGGUUUCUUGGAACUAAAGAACUCGAACAUUCCUUGUCUAAAUAAAGCUUCAGGAUUUCCAUUCUCCUUGCAACUGUCCAAGAAACAGGAGGCACUGUGGCUAAUCCUCCAAGGAAUAACUGGGAAUUUCUCGAUUGUGAUGUGUUCAAAAAUAUACUUCUCUGAUGCUGCUUCGAGAAACUCUUUGCAACUUAAUUUAGCUGUGAAGAGAUCUGAAAACGAUGUAGAGGCCACGCGAGCAAGAGCUUCUGUUAAUAAAUCUCCAGGAAAGCUUUUCUUCUUCCCUUCAUGUUUUUCUUUCUAUUUACCACUGACUGCAAAUCUGAGUGAAAAAAAAAAAAACAAUUUACAUAGUAACUGUUUGUUUCUGUAGUUAAAAAAUACUUUUAAAAACUUAAAAAUUAAUAUUACAAUAUUUUAUAUUAUCUCC
Molecule: long non-coding RNA, 866 nt
Organism: Populus trichocarpa (black cottonwood)
Lineage: Eukaryota; Viridiplantae; Streptophyta; Magnoliopsida; Malpighiales; Salicaceae
Exons: 2
Source: RefSeq, a predicted model, not a curated record